UACGUAGGGUGCAAGCGUUAAUCGGAAUUACUGGGCGUAAAGCGUGCGCAGGCGGUUUUGUAAGUCUGAUGUGAAAUCCCCGGGCUCAACCUGGGAAUUGCAUUGGAGACUGCAAGGCUAGAAUCUGGCAGAGGGGGGUAGAAUUCAACGUGUAGCAGUGAAAUGCGUAGAGAUGCGGAGGAACACCGAUGGCGAAGGCAGCCCCCUGGGUCAAGAUUGACGCUCAUGCACGAAAGCGUGGGGAGCAAACAGG
This 253-nucleotide ribosomal RNA is filed under the name uncultured bacterium. RNAcentral's name for it is "partial 16S ribosomal RNA". It matches the Rfam family "Bacterial small subunit ribosomal RNA", at positions 524 to 776 of the family's 1533-position model. The record is from RNAcentral.